Molecule: ribosomal RNA, 254 nt
Filed under: uncultured bacterium
Lineage: Bacteria
Description: partial 16S ribosomal RNA
Rfam family: Bacterial small subunit ribosomal RNA
Source: RNAcentral
UACGUAGGGAGCGAGCGUUGUCCGGAUUCAUUGGGCGUAAAGAGCUCGUAGGCGGCUUGGCAAGUCGGGUGUGAAAACUCCAGGCUCAACCUGGAGACGCCACCCGAUACUGCCAUGGCUAGAGUCCGGUAGGGGACCACGGAAUUCCUGGUGUAGCGGUGAAAUGCGCAGAUAUCAGGAGGAACACCGGUGGCGAAGGCGGUGGUCUGGGCCGGAACUGACGCUGAGGAGCGAAAGUGUGGGGAGCGAACAGG